GGGGAUGUAGCUCAGUGGUACAGCAUGUGUUCAGCACAUUUGAGGCCCUGGGUUCAAGUCCCAGAAUCCCCA
Heterocephalus glaber (naked mole-rat) is the source of this 72-nucleotide non-coding RNA. The record is from Rfam. Lineage: Eukaryota; Metazoa; Chordata; Mammalia; Rodentia; Bathyergidae.